GAUGAACGCUAGCGGGAGGCUUAACACAUGCAAGUCGAGGGGCAGCAUUACUUUCGGGUAGAUGGCGACCGGCGCACGGGUGCGUAACGCGUAUGCAACCUGCCUUAUACAGGAGGAUAGCCCAUGGAAACGUGGAUUAACACUCCAUAGUAUGAUUUUAUCGCAUGAUAAAAUGAUUAAAACUUCGGUGGUAUAAGAUGGGCAUGCGUAGGAUUAGAUAGUUGGUGAGGUAACAGCUCACCAAGCCGACGAUCCUUAGGGGUUCUGAGAGGAUUAUCCCCCACACUGGUACUGAGACACGGACCAG
RNAcentral lists this ribosomal RNA (307 nucleotides) under uncultured bacterium. RNAcentral's name for it is "bacterial SSU rRNA". It matches the Rfam family "Bacterial small subunit ribosomal RNA", at positions 28 to 334 of the family's 1533-position model. The record is from RNAcentral.